GGGCGAAAGCCUGAAGCAGCAACGCCGCGUGCGCGAUGAAGGCCUUCGGGUCGUAAAGCGCUUUUGAGAGGGACGAGAUAGGACGGUACCUCUGGAAUAAGUCACGGCUAACUACGUGCCAGCAGCCGCGGUAAAACGUAGGUGGCAAGCGUUAUCCGGAUUCACUGGGCGUAAAGCGCGUGCAGGUGGCUUCGUAAGUUGGACGUUAAAUCUCCCGGCCUAACCGGGAGGAGUCGUUCAAUACUGCGGGGCUAGAGGGCAGAAGAGGGGGGUGGAAUUGCUGGUGUAGUGGUGAAAUGCGUAGAUAUCAGCAGGAACACCUGUGGCGAAAGCGGCCCCCUGGUCUGCUCCUGACACUCAGACGCGAAAGCUAGGGGAGUGAACGGGAUUAGAAACCCCGGUAAUCCUAGCCGUAAACGAUGGAUGCUAGGUGUGGGUGGUAUUGACCCCAUCCGUGCCGAAGCCAACGCGUUAAGCAUCCCGCCUGGGGACUACGGCCGCAAGGUUA
Molecule: ribosomal RNA, 508 nt
Filed under: uncultured Chloroflexota bacterium
Lineage: Bacteria; Bacillati; Chloroflexota
Description: bacterial SSU rRNA
Rfam family: Bacterial small subunit ribosomal RNA
Source: RNAcentral